AUUGAACGCUGGCGGAAUGCUUUACACAUGCAAGUCGAACGGCAGCACGGACUUCGGUCUGGUGGCGAGUGGCGAACGGGUGAGUAAUGUAUCGGAACGUGCCCAGUCGUGGGGGAUAACGUAGUGAAAAUUACGCUAAUACCGCAUACGAUCUAUGGAUGAAAGCGGGGGUUCGCAAGACCUCGCGCGAUUGGAGCGGCCGAUAUCAGAUUAGGUUGUUGGUGAGGUAAAAGCUCACCAAGCCUGCGAUCUGUAGCUGGUCUGAGAGGACGACCAGCCACACUGGAACUGAGACACGGUCCAGACUCCUACGGGAGGCAGCAGUGGGGAAUUUUGGACAAUGGACGCAAGUCUGAUCCAGCAAUGCCGCGUGCAGGACGAAGGCCCUCGGGUUGUAAACUGCUUUUGUACAGAACGAAAAGGUUUCUACUAAUACUAGGAGCUCAUGACGGUACUGUAAGAAUAAGCACCGGCUAACUACGUGCCAGCCGCCGCCGUAA
This 500-nucleotide ribosomal RNA is filed under the name uncultured bacterium. Its description in RNAcentral is "partial 16S ribosomal RNA". It matches the Rfam family "Bacterial small subunit ribosomal RNA", at positions 30 to 523 of the family's 1533-position model. The record is from RNAcentral.